Phyllostomus discolor (pale spear-nosed bat) is the source of this 110-nucleotide long non-coding RNA. RefSeq lists it as uncharacterized. The transcript is spliced from 3 exons. NCBI's taxonomy places the organism in Eukaryota, Metazoa, Chordata, Mammalia, Chiroptera, Phyllostomidae. The record is from RefSeq and is a predicted model, not a curated record.
AUAAAGUUAAACUUGAGCCCUGACCAGUGUGGCUCAGUUGAUUGGACGUCAUCCCGCAAAGCAGAAGAUCACAGGUUUGAAUUCCAGUCAGGGCACAUGCCUGGACUACA